GUACUCAUUCAGCUCUAAACACCCCCUCCCCCGACCCUCACUUUCUAACAUCAAUCCCCAGCAGCCCAAGAAUGCUCUGGGGCCAGGCAGAGUCUCUUGGGGAAAGUAAGAUGAGGAGGCAGAGUUCCGGGCUGGAGAACAGCUUCCCAUAAGCCUGCACUUUACUCCAUCACACCCUUCCUCCUCCUGUUGUGCUGGGUUUUCUUAAUGCCCCUUUUACAAACAACAAAGGCAGACAGGCGAAGUAACCUGUCCAAGGUCAUAACUAGCGAAGGCCUGAGCGCAAACCCAGGUGUGCCUAAUUCUAAAGUCUGAGCUCCUUACCACACUAUCUACUCUGCUUCCUCGCUGCAGAGGCCUUUCCUCAGCUGGAAAGCGGGGCUAACACCACCACCUUUCUCCCCUCAUUGAAGUGUCAAGAAGGAGAAGGCACACUGCUAAGUGUUCAUCAGUGAACCUGUGGACCCCACCCUCAACAGCCACUGGUGAGAAGCCAGAAGACCUGAAUUCUGGUCUUCCCUCUCUCGUGUGAUCCCGAGCAAGUCCCUUCCGGGGGCCUGCGCCUCCCAGCAUUCAGUCUCUCCAGUGUGCGGUUAGAAGUGGGUGUGUGUGCACUAAAUGAUUUUUAAGAUCAAUCCUUUCGGGCCUGGGCAUCCCGGAUCCUCAGUGGGGCCCUGACCCGUCCCUUACGCCUCCCUGCAACAGGGCAGUCUCUCCCACUCAAGUGACCUACUCGGUCCCCGCGGCCUAACCGUGGGUGAAAAGGAGAGGGUGGCACCGUUCUGAAAGGUCCCCCUCCAGAGGUCUAAGAAAACAAUGCCCAGGCAGGCGGAAAGGGGCUGCAAAGCCAGAAGAGGGGGCUCUACCGGAAACGAAGGCUGCAGUCCUCAGGGCCACGCACGGCGGCCGCCCGCAGCCCCCGGCCGCCCGCAGCAUCCCGAGCGGCCCGCCCAGUCCUUUGUGCUCCGCGGCCCGGCGUAACUCGACGCCCUGCCGGGCGCGGGCUGCUCUGGAGAAGGCGGGCUGCCAGGGCCCGUCCUAUAGGUCCCGGCCCGACUGCAAGGACUGGGACGGGAGGGCUGGGGACCCGGGAGCCCGGCGGCCGGCGCGGAGGGGCUGGGCGGGGGGCGGGGCGGCUCAGGCCCCGCCCCGGGAGCUCGCGGAGGGAAAGAGCCGCGGGCCUGGGCCCGCCCCGCUCGCUUGCUCGACCGCCGGCCCGGCCGGCCGAGGGUCGCGGCGGCAGCUCCUUCCAUUGUGAGGGGGAGGGGAGGCGGUGGCGGUGGAAGAAAGGGCCGUCCGUGCGUUUCGCCUCCGGCCGCCGGCGGCCCCGUCCCCAGCCUCCUCGGGAACCGGCGACCCGGCAUCGCCCCUGUUAGCCCGGGCCGGGUGGCCCUCCCCGGGUCAGUACCUUCGGAGUCGCUGCCGAGCGGCUCCUGCUUCUGCUGCUGAGGUUCCUCCGCCGCCAUCUUUAAACAGCGCCGCACUGCCGACCGCUUCCGGGUUAGCAGUUGCCCUCCUCCCGGAAGGGAGCCCCUCCUCGUGGCCCCUCCUUGGCAACGCCCCUAGCGACGGGAUCCCCCCGGGCGCAGUCACCUGUGCGGCUCGCAGUCAGGUGCGGCUGCCGCCCCGCCCACCCUCCAGCCGCACUCCUGCUGGUCUCCAUCUUCCCCUUGCCCGACGUUCCCGACGACAAGAGCCUCCCGGAGGCAAUUCAGGUUUCUUUGCACUGGAGUUCGAAGCGCGGAUUGUGUUACCGAGAUGAGUGGGAAGGACAGCAGCGUCUGAGCGCCGGGAGGAGGCUGUGCCUGAGUCCCAAGCAGACCCCUCAGUCUGUGGCUGUACAGGAGUGGAAUAUGACCGAAUAUUCUCAUGAGCUACACUCAGUCCUGGGGUAGGUGCAGCCAGAUUUGUAUUCCAGCAGCAUUGCAAACUACUAUUUAUUGGAUCAUUGAGCCUUGGGGUUGCUUCGAAGCUCAAGAAAGCAAAGUGUCCACCCUGUUUGGACUGGUGCUUACCAAACUGUUCAUUCCUUUUUCCCACUUUGACACCAAAAUCUGGAACUGCCAGUGAGAUCUCCACUUAGCAGAACUGGUAUUCCCAAAUGAGGAACUAAGAGAGUUGAUGACAGCCACAUGAUUUCUAUUUGGCUUUUCAAAGUCUUGAAAACGAAAACUACGUUAAGACCGCUCUGCCUCUACCCCUUCAUAUUUUGACUAGGGCAUCCAUGGGGCAGACAGGGACACGAGGGAGCUGGGGUUGGGACUAACGGUCAGGGCAGGAAACAGCUGCUCUGACAAGUGAGAAGGAAUGCGAGUUGUGACCCAGUGCUGGAGCACAGCCAGGCUGCCAACACCAAGUAAAUACCUCCCUCCCCGGGGGUGUUGGGCUUAAAAAACAGACCUGGGCAGCUCAGUCAGUUAAGUGUCUGCCUGUGGCCCCGGGUGGUGAUCCCAGGGUCCUGGGAUUGAAUCCCACAUGGGGUUCCUUGCUCAGCGGGGAGCCUGCUUCUCUCUCCCCGUCUGCUGCUCCCCGUUUGUGCUCGCUGUCUGACAAAUGCGUGGAUUUAAAAACAACAA
Molecule: long non-coding RNA, 2576 nt
Organism: Lutra lutra (Eurasian river otter)
Lineage: Eukaryota; Metazoa; Chordata; Mammalia; Carnivora; Mustelidae
Exons: 2
Source: RefSeq, a predicted model, not a curated record